This 497-nucleotide ribosomal RNA is filed under the name uncultured bacterium. Its description in RNAcentral is "partial 16S ribosomal RNA". It matches the Rfam family "Bacterial small subunit ribosomal RNA", at positions 28 to 507 of the family's 1533-position model. The record is from RNAcentral.
GAUGAACGCUGGCGGCGUGCCUAAUACAUGCAAGUCGAGCGAACAGACGAGGAGCUUGCUCCUCUGACGUUAGCGGCGGACGGGUGAGUAACACGUGGAUAACCUACCUAUAAGACUGGGAUAAUUUCGGGAAACCGGAGCUAAUACCGGAUAAUAUAUUGAACCGCAUUGUUCAAUAGUGAAAGACGGUUUUGCUGUCACUUAUAGAUGGAUCCGCGCCGCAUUAGCUAGUUGGUAAGGUAACGGCUUACCAAGGCAACGAUGCGUAGCCGACCUGAGAGGGUGAUCGGCCACACUGGAACUGGGACACGGUCCAGACUCCUACGGGAGGCAGCAGUAGGGAAUCUUCCGCAGUGGGCGAAAGCCUGACGGAGCAACGCCGCGUGAGUGAUGAAGGUCUUCGGAUCGUAAAACUCUGUUAUUAGGGAAGAACAAAUGUGUAAGUAACUAUGCACGUAUUGACGGUACCUAAUCAGAAAGCCACGGCUAACUACGUG